CAGUAGCCGCGGUAAAACGGAGGAUCCGAGCGUUAUCCGGAAUUAUUGGGUUUAAAGGGUGCGUAGGCGGAUAGAUAAGUCAGUGGUGAAAGACGGUGGCUCAACCAUCGCAGUGCCGUUGAUACUGUUUAUCUUGAAUAUGGAUGAGGUAGGCGGAAUGUGGCAAGUAGCGGUGAAAUGCAUAGAUAUGCCACAGAACACCGAUUGCGAAGGCAGCUUACCAAGGCAAAAUUGACGCUGAGGCACGAAAGCGUGGGGAUCGAACAGGAUUAGAUACCCCAGUAGUCCCUGUCUCUUAUAU
RNAcentral lists this ribosomal RNA (301 nucleotides) under uncultured bacterium. RNAcentral describes it as "partial 16S ribosomal RNA". It matches the Rfam family "Bacterial small subunit ribosomal RNA", at positions 509 to 809 of the family's 1533-position model. The record is from RNAcentral.